GCGGGUGUAGCUCAGUUGGCAGAGCGUCUGCUUCCCAAGCAGGAUGUCGUGGGUUCGAGUCCCAUCACCCGCUCCU
Molecule: transfer RNA, 76 nt
Filed under: Anaerolineae bacterium
Lineage: Bacteria; Bacillati; Chloroflexota; Anaerolineae
Description: tRNA-Gly
Rfam family: tRNA
About the family: Transfer RNA (tRNA) molecules are approximately 80 nucleotides in length.
Source: RNAcentral